This 459-nucleotide ribosomal RNA is filed under the name Salmonella enterica. RNAcentral's name for it is "bacterial SSU rRNA". It matches the Rfam family "Bacterial small subunit ribosomal RNA", at positions 1 to 456 of the family's 1533-position model. Lineage: Bacteria; Pseudomonadati; Pseudomonadota; Gammaproteobacteria; Enterobacterales; Enterobacteriaceae. The record is from RNAcentral. RNAcentral also lists the same sequence under 1 other name.
AAAUUGAAGAGUUUGAUCAUGGCUCAGAUUGAACGCUGGCGGCAGGCCUAACACAUGCAAGUCGAACGGUAACAGGAAGCAGCUUGCUGCUUCGCUGACGAGUGGCGGACGGGUGAGUAAUGUCUGGGAAACUGCCUGAUGGAGGGGGAUAACUACUGGAAACGGUGGCUAAUACCGCAUAACGUCGCAAGACCAAAGAGGGGGACCUUCGGGCCUCUUGCCAUCAGAUGUGCCCAGAUGGGAUUAGCUUGUUGGUGAGGUAAUGGCUCACCAAGGCGACGAUCCCUAGCUGGUCUGAGAGGAUGAUCAGCCACACUGGAACUGAGACACGGUCCAGACUCCUACGGGAGGCAGCAGUGGGGAAUAUUGCACAAUGGGCGCAAGCCUGAUGCAGCCAUGCCGCGUGUAUGAAGAAGGCCUUCGGGUUGUAAAGUACUUUCAGCGGGGAGGAAGGUGUUG